Molecule: ribosomal RNA, 449 nt
Filed under: uncultured bacterium
Lineage: Bacteria
Description: bacterial SSU rRNA
Rfam family: Bacterial small subunit ribosomal RNA
Source: RNAcentral
AGCCAGACUCCUACGGGAGGCAGCAGUGGGGAAUAUUGCACAAUGGGGGAAACCCUGAUGCAGCGACGCCGCGUGAGUGAGGAAGUAUUUCGGUAUGUAAAGCUCUAUCAGCAGGGAAGAAAAUGACGGUACCUGAGUAAGAAGCCCCGGCUAACUACGUGCCAGCAGCCGCGGUAAUACGUAGGGGGCAAGCGUUAUCCGGAUUUACUGGGUGUAAAGGGAGCGUAGACGGCAGUGCAAGUCCGGAGUGAAAGGCGGGGGCUCAACCCCCGGACUGCUCUGGAAACUGUACGGCUGGAGUGCAGGAGAGGUAAGUGGAAUUCCUAGUGUAGCGGUGAAAUGCGUAGAUAUUAGGAGGAACACCAGUGGCGAAGGCGGCUUACUGGACUGUAACUGACGUUGAGGCUCGAAAGCGUGGGGAGCAAACAGGAUUAGAUACCCGUGUAGAC